UCUCUGGCAGUUUUGCUCUCUUGAAGAUAUUUUCGCAACAUUACCGAAAUUCCUUUCGGGGCCUUUUUACAUGCCUCUACUUCUCCAGAUAUAUGAGCGAUAUGUUGUUUUAAUCUAGUUAUUCCUCCUGUAGUAACUACUUGACAUAAUUUACAUUUGAUUUUCUUUCGAUUUUCACCAACCAUGUCGCCGAAAUCCCAACCUAUAUCAGUUUUUGGACCCA
Molecule: long non-coding RNA, 223 nt
Filed under: Erythranthe guttata (spotted monkey flower)
Lineage: Eukaryota; Viridiplantae; Streptophyta; Magnoliopsida; Lamiales; Phrymaceae
Description: long non-coding RNA (EGUT_LNC001573)
Source: RNAcentral